RNAcentral lists this ribosomal RNA (495 nucleotides) under uncultured bacterium. RNAcentral describes it as "partial 16S ribosomal RNA". It matches the Rfam family "Bacterial small subunit ribosomal RNA", at positions 28 to 507 of the family's 1533-position model. The record is from RNAcentral.
GACGAACGCUGGCGGCGUGCCUAAUACAUGCAAGUAGAACGCUGAAGGAGGAGCUUGCUUCUCUGGCUGAGUUGCGAACGGGUGAGUAACGCGUAGGUAACCUGCCUGGUAGCGGGGGAUAACUAUUGGAAACGAUAGCUAAUACCGCAUAAUAGUAGAUGUUGCAUGACAUUUGCUUAAAAGGUGCAUUUGCAUCACUACCAGAUGGACCUGCGUUGUAUUAGCUAGUUGGUGGGGGAAUGGCUCACCAAGGCGACGAUACAUAGCCGAGCUGAGAGGGGGAGAGGCCACACUGGGACUGAGACACGGGCCAGACUCCUACGGGAGGCAGCAGUAGGGAAACUUCGGCAACGGACGGAAGUCUGACCGAGAGACGCCGCGUGAGUGAAGAAGGUUUUCGGAUCGUAAAGCGCAGUUGUAGGAGAAGAACGAGGGUGAGAGUGGAAAGUUCACACUGUGACGGUAUCUUACCAGAAAGGGACGGCUAACUACGUG